This 1257-nucleotide long non-coding RNA is filed under the name Homo sapiens (human). Its description in RNAcentral is "HSALNT0164523". The record is from RNAcentral. Lineage: Eukaryota; Metazoa; Chordata; Mammalia; Primates; Hominidae.
CUAGACCAAACUCUGCAUACAGGAGACCUCAGAAUUCCUAUUUGAAGCCAUCCUGAGCCUGCUUCUGGGGCCUGCAUGGACUUUCCCUCAGAGUCCCUCCUUCAGAAGAUGGACUGAACUGCCAGUGACAUACCCCUAAGCCGUUGGGGUGGUCAAGCAGGUUCACAGGUCUUCAGAUGGAGAGGAACUGCUGUACUCAAGGAACUACACCCAAGGAGCCUCAUGUGGCUACCGUGAAGGCUGGGAUCUCGGGGAGGUUUUGGGAGGGAGUGAGUAUGUUUUCCAUGUGGGAGGAAUGAAAGUAAAUGUGACCAUGGCAUAGGCUGUGAGGAUUUAAAGAAUAUCCACAAAUUGACACUCCUUUCAAAAGAUAGGCUGUGGGGGCCUGGUGCAGUGGCUCACUCCUGUAAUCCCAGCACUUUGGGAGGCUGAGGUGGUUGGAUCACGAGGUCAGGAGUUCAAGACGAGCCUGGCCAAGAUGGUGAAACCCUGUCUCUACUAAAAAUACAAAAAAUUAGUCGGGCGUGGUGGCCGACGCCUGUAAUCCCAGCUACUCAAGAGGCUGAGGCGGAGAAUUGCUUGAACCCAGGAGGCAGAGGUUGCAGUGAGAUCGUGCCACUGCACUCCAGGCUGGGCAACAGGGCGAGACUCCAACUCAAAAAAAAAAAAAAAAAAGGCUGUGGGGAUUUAAAGAAUAUCCACAAAUUUUUUGAUACUCCUUUCAAAAGCUAGAGCCUAACUUCCCCCUCUUGAGUGUGAUCUGGUCUUACUAACUCACUUCUAACAAACAGAAUAAGGCAGAAAUGAUAGUGCGAUUUCUGAGGCUGGAUCAUAUAAGACAUUGUGGCUUCAGUGUCUCUCUCGGAUCACUUGCUCUGAGAGAAGCCAGCGGCCAUGUCACAAGGACACCCAGGCGGCCACAUGGAGAAGCUCACAUGGCAAGGAACUAAGGCCUCCUGCCAAAAGCCACAUGAGGGUGCCAUCCUGAAAGCAGGUCCUUGAGUGCCGUUAACCCUUCAGAUGAUUGCAGCCCCAGCUAGCAUCUCAACUGCAACCCCCUGAGGGGCCCCAAGCCAGAACCACCCAUAUAAGCCAGUCCUUAAUUUUUGACCCACAGAAACUUUCAGAUAAUAAAAUGCUUGUUUUAGGCCAUUAAAUUUGGGGGCAAUUUGUUACACAGUAAUCGCAGCUAAUGCUGCUAUUUCUUUUAUUUAUUAUUAUUAUUAAAGACAAGGUUUUGAUCUCUCGCCCAGGCUG